AGAUGUAGCAAUACAUCGAAAGUGGCGAACGGGUGAGUAACACGUAAGUAAUCUGCCUCUAAGAUUGGGAUAACCCUGCCAACGCGGGGCUAAUGCCGGAUGUGGUCCUUGUAACGCAUGUUGUGAGGAUUAAAGGAGCAAUCCACUUAGAGAUGAACUUGCGGCCCAUUAGCUAGUUGGCGGGGUAAUGGCCCACCAAGGCAACGAUGGGUAGCCGGCCUGAGAGGGUGUACGGCCACAUUGGGACUGAGAUACGGCCCAGACUCCUACGGGAGGCAGCAGUAGGGAAUUUUGCGCAAUGGACGAAAGUCUGACGCAGCAACGCCGCGUGAAGGAUGAAGGCCCUCGGGUUGUAAACUUCUGUUGGAUGGGAAAAAAAUACUAGCAAUAGUACUGAUGGUACCAUUCGAGUAAGCACCGGCUAACUACGUGCCAGCAGCCGCGGUAAUACGUAGGGUGCAAGCGUUGUUCGGAAUCACUGGGCGUAAAGAGAGCGUAGGCGGGAUUGUAAGUUAGAAGUUUAAUGCAUGGGCUUAACCCAUGAUCUGCUUUUAAUACUGCGGUUCUUGAGUAUGGGAGAGGGCGAUGGAAUUCCAGGUGUAGCGGUGGAAUGCGUGGAUAUCUGGAAGAACACCAGUAGCGAAGGCGGUCGCCUGGCCCAAUACUGACGCUGAGGCUCGAAAGCUAGGGGAGCAAACAGGAUUAGAUACCCUGGUAGUCCUAGCCGUAAACGAUGAACACUAGUUGCUGGGGGAGUCAAUCUUUUCAGUGACGAAGC
This 778-nucleotide ribosomal RNA is filed under the name uncultured Fibrobacterota bacterium. RNAcentral's name for it is "bacterial SSU rRNA". It matches the Rfam family "Bacterial small subunit ribosomal RNA", at positions 72 to 852 of the family's 1533-position model. The record is from RNAcentral. Lineage: Bacteria; Pseudomonadati; Fibrobacterota.